Molecule: ribosomal RNA, 484 nt
Filed under: uncultured bacterium
Lineage: Bacteria
Description: partial 16S ribosomal RNA
Rfam family: Bacterial small subunit ribosomal RNA
Source: RNAcentral
AUCGAACGCUGGCGGCAUGCUUUACACAUGCAAGUCGAACGGCAGCGCGGGCUUCGGCCUGGCGGCGAGUGGCGAACGGGUGAGUAAUGCAUCGGAACGUGCCCAGUAGUGGGGGAUAGCCCGGCGAAAGCCGGAUUAAUACCGCAUACGACCUGAGGGUGAAAGCGGGGGACCGAAAGGCCUCGCGCUAUUGGAGCGGCCGAUGUCGGAUUAGCUAGUUGGUGGGGUAAAGGCUUACCAAGGCGACGAUCCGUAGCUGGUCUGAGAGGACGACCAGCCACACUGGGACUGAGACACGGCCCAGACUCCUACGGGAGGCAGCAGUGGGGAAUUUUGGACAAAGGGGGCAACCCUGAUCCAGCCAUGCCGCGUGCGGGAAGAAGGCCUUCGGGUUGUAAACCGCUUUUGUUCGGGAAGAAAUCCUCUGGGCUAAUACCCCGGGGGGAUGACGGUACCGGAAGAAUAAGCACCGGCUAACUACGUG